GACGAACGCUGGCGGCGUGCUGAACACAUGCAAGUCGAACGGUAAGGCCCUUCGGGGUACACGAGUGGCGAACGGGUGAGUAACACGUGGGUGAUCUGCCCUGCACUUCGGGAUAAGCCUGGGAAACUGGGUCUAAUACCGGAUAGGACUCCGGACUGCAUGGUCUGGGGUGGAAAGCUUUUGCGGUGUGGGAUGGGCCCGCGGCCUAUCAGCUUGUUGGUGGGGUGAUGGCCUACCAAGGCGACGACGGGUAGCCGGCCUGAGAGGGUGACCGGCCACACUGGGACUGAGAUACGGCCCAGACUCCUACGGGAGGCAGCAGUGGGGAAUAUUGCUCAAUGGGCGCAAGCCUGAUGCAGCGACGCCGCGUGAGGGAUGACGGCCUUCGGGUUGUAAACCUCUUUCAGCAUCGACGAAGCGAAAGUGACGGUAGGUGCAGAAGAAGGACCGGCCAACUACGUGCCAGCCGCCGCAGUAA
Molecule: ribosomal RNA, 478 nt
Filed under: uncultured bacterium
Lineage: Bacteria
Description: partial 16S ribosomal RNA
Rfam family: Bacterial small subunit ribosomal RNA
Source: RNAcentral